Molecule: long non-coding RNA, 1226 nt
Filed under: Homo sapiens (human)
Lineage: Eukaryota; Metazoa; Chordata; Mammalia; Primates; Hominidae
Description: novel transcript
Source: RNAcentral
AUUUAAAAAUUAGCUGCCACAAAUAUUAUCCCCCAUCUGGGCACAAGGUGUAAGCUCAUCCUACACAUGUCAUUUGGACCAGACCAAGGCUGCUGUCAUGGAGGACCCACACCACAGCUUGGGAACCAUUCAUCUACCAGAGGGUCACAUGACUUCAAAUGACUCUUCUAGGGGCCACCUGCCAUGAUAGGGUACCAGCUCUUCCUCUGAAUUCCCAAUCCAUUUCUUGAGAACUACUGUUUCUAAUAAGAGUUUUUGUUCCAUGUGAGAUACCCACGCCACUUUAAAAAACAAACUAUCCUGACAUCUAAUUACUUUGUGAAUGAUUGUAAUGGCAAUAACAAUAGAGAUGGAAGAAUUUUGGAAACAAUACUAGUUUCACAGCUUUCAUGUGAGAUGCCAAGGUUUUAGCAUCGUCAGAUUGGCAAUGAGAUUGGAUAACUUCUGGGGUCUUUUUGAAAUUAUAUCUUUCUUUUCUCUAGGAUCCUACUUCUGGAAAAUAAGAUUAAUACUAAUACUAAUAAGACACAAAGAUUUUUAAUGGAAAUAGGAAUAUCUUCAAAGGCUGGAUGGACAUUGCAUGCACUGUAUGACAACAUUCGUGUAUAAUAAGAUCCUUUCCUUAGAGAAUGGGGCAAAUCCAGAUGGAAUGUGAGAAAGACUUCAAGGUUUCAGUGGAAUAUGCUUAUAUUGGGAAUUGUAUUAGUUAAGACUAGGUUUGGCUGCACAUGACAGAAAACCCAACAUAGUCACUUACACAGGAUUAAAACAUUUCCUUGUCAUAUGAAAGUCUAGAAGUGGUAUGUAGCUCUGGGUGUCAGGGAUGAAGAUUCCUUCUAACUGGGAACCCAGCUUCCCAUUUCAAAGAUUGCUUCAUAUUCAAAAUGGCUGCUGGGUCUCCAGGUAUAGAGUCCACCUUCCAGCUAGAAGAACAAAGAACCAAAAUGAGGCGUGUUCUCCCCUGUAAGGAUACUUUCGUAAGUUGAAUAGGAUGCUUUCAUAAGCAUCUCAUUGGCCAGACUGGUUAGAACUUAGUAACUGGCCACAAUCAGCUGGAAAGAAGGCUGGCAAAUAGAAUAUUUAAGGUGGUCACUGUAAUCAGCAAAAAAAUCAUGAGUUACAUAAUAUAUAGAAAAGGAGAACAAGCACAGAAUGACAACUAGCAGUGUCUGCAUAUCAUUCUUCCAAGCAAAUAAAUGGAAAUAAAAAAAAAAUCUUUACUCCAA